Molecule: non-coding RNA, 283 nt
Organism: Macaca mulatta (Rhesus monkey)
Lineage: Eukaryota; Metazoa; Chordata; Mammalia; Primates; Cercopithecidae
Source: Rfam
UGGCGCCCGAACAGGGACCUGGAAACGAGGGACUCCGUGAGGAAGAGGACGCCAAAGGACUUUCGACCGUUAAUAAAGACAAAAGGAGUCAAAUUCUUCCGAUCACCGCGGGAACCUGCCGCGUCAGAAUCGAAGGUAAGUGACGCGUCUGAAAUGGGACAAGAAUUAAGCCAACAUCAAAUAUAUGUAGGACAAUUAAAAGAGGCUUUAAAGAUACGAGGAGUAAAGGUUAAAGGUAAUGAUUUGUUUAAAUUUUUUGAUUUUGUAAAAGACACUUGCCCUU